GAAGGCAACUGAGGGCUGAAACAAAAUUUUACCAAAGCUAAAUUAACGUGUCUCUUAUUCGCCCCCGUCUCAUUUCGAAAAAAACCUAGUCCAAGAUGCCGAAGCCAGUUGUUCAAGUUGGCGACGAUCCCGAUCCAAGCGAGUGGCUGUUCGUUUCGCUGGAACAGAAGCGUAUCGAUCAAAGCAAGCCGUACGAUGCCAAGAAGGCUUGCUGGGUUCCGGAAGAGAAGGAGGGCUACGUGCUCGGUGAAAUCAAGGCCACCAAAGGUGACCUGGUCACCGUUGCCUUGCCCGGUGGUGAGUCCAAGGACUUCAAGAAAGAUCUAGUGUCCCAGGUCAACCCACCGAAAUACGAGAAAUGCGAGGAUAUGUCCAACUUGACAUAUCUUAACGAUGCCUCUGUCCUGCAUAACUUGAGGCAGCGUUAUGUUAACAAGCUGAUUUAUACCUACUCUGGCUUGUUCUGCGUUGUCAUCAACCCUUACAAGCGUUGGCCGCUGUAUACCAUGCGCGUCGCCAAGAUGUACCGUGGUAAGCGUCGUGCUGAAGUCCCACCCCAUCUAUUCGCCGUUUCUGACGGUGCCUACGUCAACAUGUUGACCAACCACGAGAACCAGUCUAUGCUGAUUACCGGUGAAUCUGGUGCCGGAAAGACUGAGAACACCAAGAAGGUCAUUGCGUACUUCGCCACCAUUGGUGCCUCCAGCAAGAAGGACGAAUCCGCCGAGAAGAAGGUUUCCCUGGAAGAUCAGGUCGUCCAGACCAACCCUGUACUUGAGGCCUUCGGUAACGCCAAGACCGUCCGUAACGAUAACUCUUCUCGUUUCGGUAAGUUCAUCCGUAUCCACUUCACCGGAUCCGGUAAGCUGGCUGGUGCUGAUAUUGAGACCUACCUGCUGGAGAAGGCCCGUGUCAUCUCCCAACAGACUCUGGAACGUUCCUACCAUAUCUUCUACCAGAUGAUGUCUGGCUCCGUCAAGGGCCUGAAAGACAUGUGCUUCCUGUCGAACGACAUCUACGACUACUACAACGUUGCCCAGGGUAAGGUUACCAUCCCCAACGUCGAUGACGGUGAAGAAUGCUCCCUGACCGAUGAGGCCUUCAACGUCUUGGGUUUCACUCAGGAAGAGAAGGACAACAUCUACCGUAUCACCGCCGCUGUCAUGCAUAUGGGUGGCAUGAAGUUCAAGCAAAAGGGUCGCGAAGAACAGGCUGAAGCCGAUGGUAUGGAUGAGGGUGGCCGUGUUGCCAAGCUUCUGGGUGUUGAGACCGAGGAUCUGUACAAGAACCUGCUGAAGCCACGUAUCAAGGUCGGUGCUGAAUUCGUCACCAAGGGCCAGAACGUCACUCAGGUCACCAAUGCCGUCGGUGCUCUUUGCAAGGGUAUCUUCGAUCGUAUCUUCAAGUGGCUGGUCAAGAAGUGUAACGAAACUCUGGACACCAAGCAGAAGCGUGCCCAGUUCAUUGGUGUACUGGAUAUUGCUGGUUUCGAAAUUUUCGACUACAACGGUUUCGAACAGAUCUGUAUUAACUUCACCAAUGAGAAGCUGCAGCAGUUCUUCAACCACCACAUGUUCGUCCUGGAACAGGAAGAAUACAAGAAGGAAGGUAUUAACUGGGCCUUCAUCGAUUUCGGUAUGGACUUGCUGGCCUGUAUCGAUCUGAUCGAAAAGCCCAUGGGUAUUCUGUCCAUUCUUGAGGAAGAAUCUAUGUUCCCGAAGGCCACCGAUCAGACCUUUGCUGAGAAGCUGAUGAACAACCAUCUGGGCAAGUCCGCUCCGUUCCAGAAGCCCAAGCCACCAAAGCCAGGUUGCCAGCCCGCUCACUUCGCCAUCGGCCAUUACGCUGGUGUUGUCUCGUACAACAUCACUGGCUGGCUUGAGAAGAACAAGGAUCCCCUGAACGACACUGUCGUCGAUCAGUUCAAGAAGGGCAAGAACGCUCUGCUGGUUGAGAUCUUCGCUGAUCACCCCGGACAGUCUGCUGCUCCAGAUGCUGGCGGCAAGGGUGGACGUGGUAAGAAGGGUGGUGGUUUCGCCACUGUCUCGUCCUCCUACAAGGAACAGCUGAACAACCUGAUGACCACUCUGAAGUCUACUCAGCCUCACUUCGUCCGUUGUAUCAUUCCCAACGAAUUGAAGCAGACCGGUCUGAUUGAUGCUCACUUGGUUAUGCACCAGCUGACCUGUAACGGUGUACUUGAAGGUAUCCGUAUUUGCCGUAAAGGUUUCCCCAACCGAAUGAUGUACCCUGACUUCAAGCUGCGUUACCUUAUCCUGGCCCCAGCUAUCAUGCAGGCCGAGUCUGACCCGAAGAUUGCUGCUGAGAAGUGUUUCAACUCCAUCGGUCUGGACCCUGAGUCCUACCGUAUUGGUCACACCAAGGUAUUCUUCCGCGCCGGUGUCCUGGGUCAGAUGGAAGAAUUCCGUGACGAGCGUCUGAGCAAGAUCAUGACCUGGAUGCAGUCCUGGGCUCGUGGCUACAUUGCCCGCAAGGAGUUCAGAAAGAUGCAGGAACAGCGCGUCUGCCUGGAGAUUGUCCAGCGCAAUCUGCGUAAAUACAUGAAGAUUAAGGCCUGGGCCUGGUGGAAGCUGUGGCAGAAGGUCAAGCCUCUGCUUAACGUUUCCCGCGUUGAGGACCAGAUCGCUGAACUGGAACAGAAGGCCAAGAGCACCGCUGAAGCCCUCGAGAAGGAAGUCAAGGUCCGCCAGGAAUUGGAAGCCCUGAACAGCAAACUGUUGGCUGAGAAGACCGCUCUGCUGGACUCUCUGUCCGGUGAGAAGGGUGCUCUCGGUGAAAUGCAGGAGAAGACCGCUAAGCUGACCGCUCAGAAGAACGACCUCGAGAACCAGCUGCGCGAUACUCAGGAUCGCCUGUCCCAGGAGGAAGAUGCCCGCAACCAGCUGAUGCAGGCCAAGAAGAAGUUGGAGCAGGAAAUGAACGGCCAGAAGAAGGAUGCCGAAGACCUGGAACUGCAAAUCCAGAAGAUUGAGCAGGACAAGGCCUCCAAGGAUCACCAGAUCCGCAACUUGAACGACGAGAUCGCUCACCAGGAUGAGUUGAUCAACAAAUUGAACAAGGAAAAGAAGGUCCAGGGUGAGGUUAACCAGAAGACUGCCGAAGAACUGCAGGCUGCUGAAGAUAAGGUUAACCACCUGAACAAGGUUAAGGCCAAGCUGGAGCAGACUCUGGAUGAACUGGAGGACUCUCUGGAGCGCGAGAAGAAGCUGCGCGGUGAUAUUGAGAAGGGCAAGCGCAAGGUUGAAGGUGACCUGAAGCUGACCCAGGAAGCCGUUGCCGAUCUUGAGCGCAACAAGAAGGAACUGGAACAGACCAUCAUGCGCAAGGACAAGGAAAUCUCUGCCCUGUCUGCCAAGCUUGAGGAUGAACAGUCCCUGCUGGGCAAGACCCAGAAGCAGAUCAAGGAACUGCAGGGCCGCAUUGAGGAACUGGAGGAAGAAGUCGAAGCUGAGCGACAGGCUCGUGCUAAGGCUGAGAAGCAGCGUGCCGAUCUGGCCCGCGAACUGGAAGAACUGGGUGAGCGUCUGGAGGAAGCCGGUGGUGCUACCUCUGCCCAGAUUGAGCUGAACAAGAAGCGUGAGGCUGAGCUCGCCAAGCUGCGCCGCGACUUGGAAGAGUCCAACAUCCAGCAUGAAGGAACUCUGGCCAACCUGCGCAAGAAGCACAACGAUGCCGUUGCCGAGAUGGCCGAACAGGUCGAUCAACUGAACAAGCUGAAGACCAAGGCUGAACACGAUCGCGCCAACAUGUACAACGAGCUGAACAACACUCGCACGGCUUGCGAUCAGCUUGCCCGCGAAAAGGCUUCCCAGGAGAAGAUCGCCAAGCAGCUGCAGCACACUCUGAACGAAGUCCAGGGCAAACUGGAUGAGACCAACCGCACUCUGAACGACUUCGAUGCCUCCAAGAAGAAGCUGUCGAUUGAGAACUCUGACCUGCUCCGCCAACUGGAAGAUGCCGAAUCUCAGGUUUCGCAGCUGAGCAAGAUCAAGAUCUCGCUCACUCAGCAACUGGAAGAUACCAAGCGUCUGGCCGAUGAGGAAUCGCGUGAACGCGCCACUCUGCUCGGCAAGUUCCGCAACCUGGAACACGACCUCGACAGCCUGCGCGAACAGGUUGAGGAAGAAGCUGAGGGCAAGGGAGACAUCCAGCGUCAACUCAGCAAGGCCAACGCCGAAGCUCAGUUGUGGCGUACCAAGUACGAGUCCGAGGGUGUUGCUCGCGCUGAAGAACUCGAGGAAGCCAAGAGGAAGCUCCAGGCCCGCCUUGCCGAAGCCGAGGAAACCAUCGAAUCGCUCAACCAGAAGUGUGUUGCUCUGGAGAAGACCAAGCAGCGCCUGUCCACCGAAGUCGAGGAUCUGCAGCUCGAGGUCGACCGUGCCACCUCGAUCGCCAACUCUGCCGAGAAGAAGCAGAAGGCCUUCGACAAGAUCAUCGGAGAAUGGAAGCUCAAGGUCGACGACCUGGCUGCUGAACUGGAUGCUUCCCAGAAGGAAUGCCGCAACUACUCCACCGAGCUGUUCCGUCUCAAGGGAGCCUUCGAAGAAGGUCAGGAACACCUUGAAGCCGUCCGCCGUGAGAACAAGAACCUGGCUGAUGAAGUCAAGGAUCUGCUCGACCAGAUCGGUGAGGGUGGCCGCAACAUCCACGAAAUCGAGAAGUCUCGCAAGCGUCUGGAAGCCGAAAAGGACGAACUCCAGGCCGCUCUCGAGGAAGCUGAAGCUGCUCUGGAACAGGAGGAGAACAAGGUUCUGCGCGCUCAACUUGAACUGUCUCAGGUUCGUCAAGAAAUUGACCGCCGUAUCCAGGAGAAGGAAGAAGAGUUCGAAAACACCCGCAAGAACCACCAGCGUGCCCUGGACUCCAUGCAGGCCUCUCUUGAAGCCGAAGCCAAGGGUAAGGCUGAGGCCCUGCGCAUGAAGAAGAAGUUGGAAGCCGACAUCAACGAGCUUGAGAUUGCUCUGGAUCAUGCCAACAAGGCUAACGCUGAGGCCCAGAAGAACAUUAAGCGCUACCAACAGCAGAUGAAGGACAUCCAGAGCGCCCUGGAGGAAGAACAGCGUGCUCGUGAUGAGGCCCGUGAACAGCUGGGUAUCUCUGAACGUCGUGCCAACGCUCUGCAGAACGAACUGGAAGAAUCGCGUACCCUGCUGGAACAGGCCGACCGCGGUCGUCGCCAGGCCGAACAGGAGUUGAGCGACUCUCACGAACAGCUGAACGAAAUCUCUGCCCAGAACGCUUCCAUUGCCGCCGCCAAGAGGAAACUCGAGUCUGAGCUGCAGACCCUGCACUCCGACCUGGAUGAGCUGCUGAACGAAGCCAAGAACUCCGAAGAGAAGGCCAAGAAGGCUAUGGUUGAUGCCGCCCGUCUGGCUGAUGAACUCCGCGCUGAGCAGGAUCAUGCCCAGACCCAGGAGAAGAUGCGCAAGGCCCUGGAACAGCAGAUCAAGGAACUGCAGGUCCGCCUGGACGAAGCCGAGACCAACGCCCUGAAGGGAGGUAAGAAGGCCAUCCAGAAACUGGAACAGCGCGUCCGCGAGCUGGAAUCCGAACUGGACAGCGAACAGAGACGUCAUGCCGAUGCCCAGAAGAACCUGCGCAAGUCCGAACGCCGCAUCAAGGAACUGACCUUCCAGUCUGAGGAAGACCGCAAGAACCACGAACGCAUGCAGGAUCUGGUCGAUAAGCUGCAGCAGAAGAUCAAGACUUACAAGAGGCAGAUUGAGGAAGCCGAAGAAAUCGCCGCUCUGAAUCUGGCCAAAUUCCGCAAGGCCCAGCAGGAACUGGAAGAGGCUGAAGAGCGUGCCGACAUUGCCGAACAAACUGCCACCAAAUUCCGCACCAAGGGAGGACGUGCCGGUUCGGUACAGCGUGGUGCCAGCCCAGCACCUUCGGUCAUCAGAGCGUAAAGCAAACGAUAGACAAUCCACACGUUACCCAACCCUCCAAAUCAAUUCAACCAAAUCGAAAUUCAACUUGCAUUUCCUGCGAGACAGCCAUCCGCUUUGCCAUCCCUUGCCGGAUUGGGCCUGCCAGCAUUCGACGACCAUGCUUUCUAAAUUAUGAAACUCCAAAAAAUUAAUUUAUAGAUAAAAGCCACACUUUUUAUUUAUUCAAUUAAUUUAUUUACACGUUAUUAAACAACCAAAGCAAUGCACCAGGAAUGAAAACACGCGUUCUCGCUAACCAACCAGAAAGCCAAAACCCCCAAAAGAUUUCAGAGCUAAUCUGCAUCCACCGGCGGUCCCGAUUUCUUCUCACGCCAGGAUACCCCUUUGACGAAAAAACGAAAACCAAAAGAGAGAGACACAAUUAACAUCGAAUCAACGCUCACACAUUAAAAGAAAAUUUCAGCCCUUGUGAGAAAAACGAAGCGGUAUUCCUCUACUGUUCGAUCUGUGUGAGGUGAAAACCGAGCCUUCGGUGGUUACGAAAUAGUAUUUUACAUCUAAUGCGCGCCCGUACAAAACAUUCGAACGAGCGAAAAAAAAACGUUUAGCGAGCAACGAUCUCGUGUUGUGAAAACCGGAGAAAUGAUUAGGAAAAUCCAGCAUGAUCAGUGAAAGCACUUCUUCAAAACAUAAUGAUAAUGAGUCAUUUUUAGUUCUCAUUAAUUUCUGUAUUAUUUUUUUAUUUGUUUUAAUUAUACUUUCGCUCUGAAUCUUUUAUAAUUUUAUUAAUAAAAAUGUAUUUAUUUUUAUUAAUUAAAGUAACGAAAUAAGAUACUAUUCGAAACUGAAAAUCAAAUCUGAAAAUGGUCUAGUUUUUUAUUGUAUGAUUGCGCUUUGCAGACGAACAAUCCGAAUAAGCGUUAAGUCCGCCCAUCGACCGAUUUUUGUCCCGACCAGAAGGCUCAAAGUUGCGUAAAUUGCAAUGUUUCGCACAGGAGGUGCGUUUCGAAUCGUUCUUAAUCAGGCAAAACCAAAAUGAGACACGUUCAAACUACCAUCUAGCAAAAGCCCCUCAAGUUCCAACAUCAUUAGUUAAGAAAAUGCGCUUCGAAAGCCGAUCGACAGCAUGGCAACCGUCACCAAAUGCUCGAGAGCACAAUUUUCGCGCCUUUAACCACUUUGGGUAUUUCCGAUCUGAUCGAGAAGGGAAUCGACCGGUUCCACGGAUUUGUACGUUGACCCUAAACAUACCAGGUGCAAAUCGCAAGCAACACGCAGCCAAACACCGCCUAUCCAUUUUCACUAUUUCGAUUUCGGUAAAGCACUAUCGCAAAAAUUCUGAGAGAUCACUAAGAAAAUCAAUCGAAUUUUACCAAAAAAAAACAAAAAAAAACGAAGUAAUUAAGAGAAAAGGAACAUCUAGUAGGAAAAAGCUGUUACAAAUGUAUAUGUUUGAAGGAAGAUUGAACCAAAGGAAUAAAAAUUCUAGUCUUUUCAAUAAUCAAA
Molecule: RNA transcript, 7418 nt
Organism: Uranotaenia lowii
Lineage: Eukaryota; Metazoa; Arthropoda; Insecta; Diptera; Culicidae
Gene: Mhc
Gene name: myosin heavy chain, muscle
Exons: 16
Source: RefSeq, a predicted model, not a curated record